This 468-nucleotide ribosomal RNA is filed under the name uncultured bacterium. RNAcentral's name for it is "partial 16S ribosomal RNA". It matches the Rfam family "Bacterial small subunit ribosomal RNA", at positions 28 to 507 of the family's 1533-position model. The record is from RNAcentral.
GACGAACGCUGGCGGCGUGCUUAACACAUGCAAGUCGAACGGAAAGGCCCUGCUUUUGUGUUGUUCUCGAGUGGCGAACGGGUGAGUAACACGUGAGUAACCUGCCCUUGACUUUGGUAUAACUUCAGGAAACUGGGGCUAAUACCGGAUAGGAUCUCCUGCUGCAUGGUGGGGAUUGGAAAGUUUCGGCUGUUGGGGAUGGACUCGCGGCUUAUCAGCUUGUUGGUGGGGUAGUGGCUUACCAAGGCUUUGACGGGUAGCCGGCCUGGGAGGGUGACCGGCGACAUUGCGACUGCGGUACGGAGCAGACUCCAACGGGAGGCAGUAGUGGGAAACAUUGCACAAUGGGAGGACGUCUGAGGAAGAAACGCCGGGUGCGGGAUGACGGCCUUCGGGUUGUAAACAGCUUUAGCCUGUGACGAAGCGUGAGUGACGGUAAUGGGUAAAGAAGCACCGGCUAACUACGUG